Molecule: ribosomal RNA, 274 nt
Filed under: uncultured bacterium
Lineage: Bacteria
Description: partial 16S ribosomal RNA
Rfam family: Archaeal small subunit ribosomal RNA
Source: RNAcentral
AAACCAGCACCUCAAGUGGUCAGGAUGAUUAUUGGGCCUAAAGCAUCCGUAGCCUGCUCUGUAAGUUUUCGGUUAAAUCUGUACGCUCAACGUACAGGCUGCCGGGAAUACUGCAGAGCUAGGGAGUGGGAGAGGUAGACGGUACUCGGGAGGAAGGGGUAAAAUCCUUUGAUCUCUCGAUGACCACCUGUGGCGAAGGCGGUCUACCAGAACACGUCCGACGGUGAGGGAUGAAAGCUGGGGGAGCAAACCGGAUUAGAAACCCCAGUAGUCC